RNAcentral lists this ribosomal RNA (459 nucleotides) under uncultured bacterium. RNAcentral's name for it is "partial 16S ribosomal RNA". It matches the Rfam family "Bacterial small subunit ribosomal RNA", at positions 338 to 795 of the family's 1533-position model. The record is from RNAcentral.
CCUACGUGUGGCAGCAGUGAGGAAUAUUGGUCAAUGGGCGAGAGCCUGAACCAGCCAAGUCGCGUGAAGGAUGACGGCCCUACGGGUUGUAAACUUCUUUUGUCAGGGAGCAAUUGGGUCCACGCGUGGGCUUAGCGAGCGUACCUGAAGAAAAAGCAUCGUCUAACUCCGUGCCGGCAGCCGCCGUAAUACGGGGGAGGCGAGCUUUCUCCGGAUUUAUUGGGUUUAACGGGUGCGUAGGCGGAAUGUCUAGUAAGCGGUAAAAAUUCGGGGCUCAACCCCGUCGUGCCGUGAAACUGAUGUUCUUGAGUGGGCGAGAAGGAUGCGGAAUGCGUGGUGUAGCGGUGAAAUGCAUAGAUAUCACGCAGAACUCCGAUUGCGAAGGCAGCAUACCGGCGCCCAACUGACGCUGAAGCACGAAAGCGUGGGUAUCGAACAGGAUUAGAUACCCAAGUAGUC